AAGCUGCAGGAUAUCGUGUUCGUUGAGCGCAGAGGAAACAGCAGGUGUGUCCGCAGGCUUUUGGAGGUGUCUGUACUUGCAGCUUGUGCAAUACAUGAAAAUCACCACACUGGCUGUUGUUCACUGGCUGAGGAUGCCCCCAUUAGACGCAGGGCAGACGGUCAGCGGUGGUGGGACUAAGCACUGAUGACAAGCUCCUGGAAAGGCUGCAGUUGAGGAGAAUGAGCAGAGCCUGCACAGGGACCGGCCCGAGCCUCAGACAU
Molecule: non-coding RNA, 263 nt
Organism: Neolamprologus brichardi
Lineage: Eukaryota; Metazoa; Chordata; Actinopteri; Cichliformes; Cichlidae
Source: RefSeq, a predicted model, not a curated record